RNAcentral lists this ribosomal RNA (474 nucleotides) under uncultured bacterium. RNAcentral describes it as "bacterial SSU rRNA". It matches the Rfam family "Bacterial small subunit ribosomal RNA", at positions 29 to 514 of the family's 1533-position model. The record is from RNAcentral.
AACGAACGCUGGCGGCGCGUCUUAAACAUGCAAGUCGAACGAUCUGUAGCAAUACAGGGAGUGGCGGACGGGUGAGGAACACGUAGGAAUCUACCUUGAAGAGCGGGACAACUUUGGGAAACCGGGGCUAAUACCGCAUAGUACAGAGAUGUUAAAGGGCUAGCAAUAGUCGCUUCGAGAUGAGCCUGCGGUCUAUCAGCUUGUUGGUGAGGUAAUGGCUCACCAAGGCUACGACGGAUAGCCGGUCUGAGAGGAUGAUCGGCCACACUGGCACUGAGACACGGGCCAGACUCCUACGGGAGGCAGCAGUUAAGAAUCUUGCGCAAUGGGGGAAACCCUGACGCAGCGACGCCGCGUGAAGGAUGAAGGCUUUCGGGUUGUAAACUUCGGUAGACUGGGAAGAAGAAAUAACGUUCGUUGAGGGCGUAUAGUGACGGUACCAGUCUGAAGCCCCGGCUAAUUACGUGCCAGCAG